Molecule: long non-coding RNA, 1648 nt
Organism: Brassica napus (rape)
Lineage: Eukaryota; Viridiplantae; Streptophyta; Magnoliopsida; Brassicales; Brassicaceae
Exons: 2
Source: RefSeq, a predicted model, not a curated record
AUUUAAAAGGAAAAAUAGUUUAGGUAACAAAAAAACACAUGUAAAAGAGAAAAAUAUUUCUUGACAAAGUGAUUAAAAGUUUUUUAUUUUAGUCUAAUUGUUAAAAGCAAACUGAAUAAAAAUAAUUGUUUGAGUAAAUUUUAAAUAAAUGAUAUAUUUUUGAAGAAACUAACAUAAAAUAAAAGAAAAGAAAAGCAAUUAUAAAAAAGAAAGAACAGUUUAGGUAACACAAAAGCAUAGGUAAAAAGGAAAAAUAUUUGGUGACAGUGAUUAAAAGUGUUUUUACAAAAAUUGAAAGAAAAGAAGAUACAGAAAGGGAAACUCGAACAUGAAUUGGGUGACACAACCUUAGACCAUCUCCAAUGGAGUAUCCAUGAGGGUUCUAUGUGAUGGUUCUAAGUAAAUAAAUGUUGAAAAUUAAAUCAAAAUGAGGAAAAAUAGAUAGAUAUGGUUCUAAAAAUGGAAGUUUUAGAACCAAUUCUAAAUAAUAUGUGUCACUUUGUGAUAUAAUAGUAUUUUAAAGGGAAAAAAAUUAAAUCCAAUUGUUCUUUCUCUCUCUCUCUUUGGCGGAUUGAAAGCAACUCUUUUUUUUGUAGACGAAACAGAGAUCUUCUUUCACAAUUUGGCGACUUAGCUGUCAAUCCUCUCCAUCCUUUAUCUACUCUGCUCCUUUCAAUCAAGAUAACAUGAAAGAGUAAUCAAAACCUGACGAUGUGGGGAUCGCGACCGAGCAUGCGGAGGAUGGAGAUCUCGCAGAGAGUGGUGGGAGGAACGCCUUCUUCGUCUUCGUGGAGACGAGUCUUCUUCAAAGCGACGAUGAGACCCGUAGCUUUUUCUCUCGCUCUGUACACUUUGCCGUAAGUGCCUCCCCCUACUUUCUCUAGCUUCUCGAAGGCUUCCAUGGCCGACACUUUGCUGUAUGGUGUUGGUGUAAUCUGCCAUCAAGUUUCAAAACUUGAGCGUGCUCUUAAAAUUUCUGAGGUAACUUCUCCCUACCAUGUUUGGUUCGAGUUUGAGAAACUGUUCGGGCUAACUGUACCACUGCAAGAGGUAAUAAUCAAUUGAUGUGUCUUUUGCUUGUUCAACAAGAUUCUGUUGAAUCUGUCCAAAAACCUGCAACUUGAACCCAUGAAAUAAUGUACAGGUAAGCUACUUUAGGAGAGGAUUAUGGUUAGAAUAAAAGGUAGUGAAUCACGACCAAGUAACAUAUAGAAAUUUCUACUUGCAGAGAGUUCAUAGAAUCAACCGGAGUACGCAUCAGAGCUAUGAUCAAUUUGUAAAUCACCUUCAAAGUUGGCCCAAAAUCAUUUAAAUCUACAGAAACUGGAGAAACUGUUCUAUUGCUGCAUUGUCAGGACUCCGUUUGACAAGGUAAAUUAAUUUUUAUUGAGUUGAUAUUUGAUAUAGAUAAUCAUGAAAUAUCCGACUUCAUAAUCAACAGUGAGAUUUUGAAGUGGACGGUUGGAUUAGUAGUUAUUCAUGUCUUUCUGAAUCAGUUUGAUGCACUGUAAAACAGAGUGAUAUGUUUGAUGAAUUGUCUUGUUUGGUUGGAAAAUGAGCUCGGACAGAGUGAUAUGUUUGAUGUAUUUCUCAAUAAUUAUAAGUUUUUUUUAUUAUAGAAUGAAAUGCAAGGAAUCUAUUAUUACAA